CUCAGUGGACAGUGAGGGGCGCUUGGCUUGGUUUGCAAUGUUUCUUGGUUGCAUGUCUUCCCUGAUCUUUGCUUUAUUGAAAGAGGCACGACAGAGAACAACUCCUGGCAUCCCUGUUGGUCCUGAUUCCUCCUACUGACUCCUGCCAAUUCAGCUGAGGCCUGGCUGUCUCUGCUAGGUCAUGCCACCAUUGCUGAUCUGUGUUUGCUAACACAAACACAACAGAAGCUGGGACUCAGCUGUCCUCUUUCAACUUUCCAUCUCCAGGGCCAGGCAAACGGAGACACUCCGUGAAUAAAGAUGAACCGACUUAUUUACUAAACAGGGAGCAUUGAUGCCUCCUGGAGUCAAGUCCCACGCCCUGACCAGCCUUCCUCGGCCACGCCCCUUCCUGCCUCUGCGCAUGAUGGAGGGCCGAUCUGCCCACUCUCUGAUCCCCUCAUUGGCUAUAGGAACUAUUGUAAUCUAUACUGCAAGACUCCAAUCAGUGUAACAGUUGAGACUAUGGACAGGGAGCGAUCCAGAAACAUUUCUUAAAUCUCUGCCUUUGCCUCUUUCAAGCUGUAUGCCCUAGGUGGUAUGGCAGAGUUCCAGGCCCAGCGGCUGCUCCCUGCACCUGCCCCCUCCACAUCCAAUUUCUUUGCAAUGGCCUAAAAAGCUAACCAAGCUGAAAUAGCUCAUUCCAAGGCUCUCAAACUCCGGCACCAUUAUUCAGUGUUUGCAGAGGCCUAGCCUCAUCCCUGCCACUCACCA
RNAcentral lists this long non-coding RNA (753 nucleotides) under Mus caroli (Ryukyu mouse). RNAcentral describes it as "lncRNA (MGP_CAROLIEiJ_G0004069.1)". Lineage: Eukaryota; Metazoa; Chordata; Mammalia; Rodentia; Muridae. The record is from RNAcentral.